UACGUAGGGUGCAAGCGUUAAUCGGAAUACUGGGCGUAAAGCGUGCGCAGGCGGUUAUGUAAGACAGAUGUGAAAUGCCCGGGCUUAACCUGGGAACUGCAUUUGUGACUGCAUGGCUAGAAUCUGGCAGAGGGGGGUAGAAUUCCACGUGUAGCAGUGAAAUGCGUAGAGAUGUGGAGGAACACCGAUGGCCGAAGGCAGCCCCCUGGGUCAAGAUUGACGCUCAUGCACGAAAGCGUGGGGAGCAAACAGG
Molecule: ribosomal RNA, 253 nt
Filed under: uncultured bacterium
Lineage: Bacteria
Description: partial 16S ribosomal RNA
Rfam family: Bacterial small subunit ribosomal RNA
Source: RNAcentral